GGUGGGACCUGUUGUGCUUGGUGCUGCACAGAGCAAGGAAAAUUGAAAAUUGCCUUUGCAAAGACCUUGAAGUUGUAAUGAAUAAGGAGUAUGCAAAUGUGCCUGUAGCUUCUGGAGCAAGGAGCUUCACUGUGAAGGAAUGAAGGGGAAGGAGGACAUUUGCCACUGUUACUCCUCUCGCUGAUGUGCUCCUGGAGGGACUGCAUACCCAGACUGGUGUGGAGGCGGAAGUGUGUUAAGUUGCAGGGGAGCACGAGGGGAAGAAGCAGCUGGACCACAGAUUCCAGUCUGGAAGGGUUGGGAGGAGGGAGAAGACUGUAUGCAUGGCUCAGACUCUCUGUGUUGGCUUUUGGUUGUCCAUGUUCUGAACCCAGCCAGUGGACCGCCUCUGCCACAGGAAUGAGUUUGUGUGAUCAAGCCCUUGCUCCACUGUCUGAGGGGCAGACAGCUUCAAAACUUGCUUGCAAACCCCUUGGUGACUGCAGUAACUGCAAUCAGUUCUCAAUCUUAAGCCCUGAGGACCUGACCAAGACAAACUAAGACAGAACUAUAAGCACAACUACACAGUUAAAGGUUCUGCCUCCUAUCUUUGUCACUGGCCAGUAACAAAUACUUAGAGAAAGUAUUCAAGUAGAAAAACCGUAUUCAAGGAGUUUCUGCUUCUGGUCAUUUGUGUUCAAUUGUUUCUCUCUGAAUCUUUCUCAUUCCUGUAUGAACUUGAUUACAAUACACCAUAUUCUGUGGCAAUGAGUUGUAUAAUUUAAUUAUAGCAUUGUCUGUGUUUCUUUGGGGUGGACAACUUUUUGUUUAUUCUGAAGUGAUCACCUGGUAACUUUGUUAGGUGAUUCUAAAUUUUGUGUUGUAAAAAACAGUGGGUAGCCUUUAUUUUUUUUCAUCUUCACGCCAACUGUGAUGGUAUAGGUGUGUAUUCUACUUUCUGCCCAGUGGUUUCUUUCAUAAGUUGAAGA
Molecule: long non-coding RNA, 968 nt
Filed under: Anser brachyrhynchus (Pink-footed goose)
Lineage: Eukaryota; Metazoa; Chordata; Aves; Anseriformes; Anatidae
Description: lncRNA (ENSABRG00000004300.1)
Source: RNAcentral